AUACGUAGGGAGCGAGCGUUGUCCGGAUUUACUGGGUGUAAAGGGUGCGUAGGCGGGACUGCAAGUCAGACGUGAAAUACCGAGGCUUAACCUCGGGGCUGCGUUUGAAACUGUAGUUCUUGAGUGAAGUAGAGGCAGGCGGAAUUCCUAGUGUAGCGGUGAAAUGCGUAGAUAUUAGGAGGAACACCAGUGGCGAAGGCGGCUUACUGGUCCAUUACUGACGCUGAGGUGCGAAAGCGUGGGGAGC
RNAcentral lists this ribosomal RNA (247 nucleotides) under uncultured bacterium. Its description in RNAcentral is "partial 16S ribosomal RNA". It matches the Rfam family "Bacterial small subunit ribosomal RNA", at positions 523 to 769 of the family's 1533-position model. The record is from RNAcentral.